Molecule: ribosomal RNA, 497 nt
Filed under: uncultured bacterium
Lineage: Bacteria
Description: partial 16S ribosomal RNA
Rfam family: Bacterial small subunit ribosomal RNA
Source: RNAcentral
GAUGAACGCUGGCGGCGUGCCUAAUACAUGCAAGUCGAGCGAACGGACGAGAAGCUUGCUUCUCUGAUGUUAGUGGCGGACGGGUGAGUAACACGUGGAUAACCUACCUAUAAGACUGGGAUAACUUCGGGAAACCGGAGCUAAUACCGGAUAAUAUUUUGAACCGCAUGGUUCAAAAGUGAAAGACGGUCUUGCUGUCACUUAUAGAUGGAUCCGCGCUGCAUUAGCUAGUUGGUAAGGUAACGGCUUACCAAGGCAACGAUGCAUAGCCGACCUGAGAGGGUGAUCGGCCACACUGGAACUGAGACACGGUCCAGACUCCUACGGGAGGCAGCAGUAGGGAAUCUUCCGCAAUGGGCGAAAGCCUGACGGAGCAACGCCGCGUGAGUGACGAAGGUCUUCGGAUCGUAAAACUCUGUUAUUAGGGAAGAACAUAUGUGUAAGUAACUGUGCACAUCUUGACGGUACCUAAUCAGAAAGCCACGGCUAACUACGUG